RNAcentral lists this ribosomal RNA (708 nucleotides) under uncultured Mycobacterium sp. Its description in RNAcentral is "bacterial SSU rRNA". It matches the Rfam family "Bacterial small subunit ribosomal RNA", at positions 611 to 1317 of the family's 1533-position model. The record is from RNAcentral. Lineage: Bacteria; Bacillati; Actinomycetota; Actinomycetes; Mycobacteriales; Mycobacteriaceae.
AACUGUGAGCGUGCGGGCGAUACGGGCAGACUUGAGUACUGCAGGGGAGACUGGAAUUCCUGGUGUAGCGGUGGAAUGCGCAGAUAUCAGGAGGAACACCGGUGGCGAAGGCGGGUCUCUGGGCAGUAACUGACGCUGAGGAGCGAAAGCGUGGGGAGCGAACAGGAUUAGAUACCCUGGUAGUCCACGCCGUAAACGGUGGGUACUAGGUGUGGGUUUCCUUCCUUGGGAUCCGUGCCGUAGCUAACGCAUUAAGUACCCCGCCUGGGGAGUACGGCCGCAAGGCUAAAACUCAAAGAAAUUGACGGGGGCCCGCACAAGCGGCGGAGCAUGUGGAUUAAUUCGAUGCAACGCGAAGAACCUUACCUGGGUUUGACAUGCACAGGACGCCGGCAGAGAUGUCGGUUCCCUUGUGGCCUGUGUGCAGGUGGUGCAUGGCUGUCGUCAGCUCGUGUCGUGAGAUGUUGGGUUAAGUCCCGCAACGAGCGCAACCCUUGUCUCAUGUUGCCAGCGGGUAAUGCCGGGGACUCGUGAGAGACUGCCGGGGUCAACUCGGAGGAAGGUGGGGAUGACGUCAAGUCAUCAUGCCCCUUAUGUCCAGGGCUUCACACAUGCUACAAUGGCCGGUACAAAGGGCUGCGAUGCCGCGAGGUUAAGCGAAUCCUUUUAAAGCCGGUCUCAGUUCGGAUCGGGGUCUGCAACUCGACC